Molecule: non-coding RNA, 1079 nt
Organism: Jatropha curcas
Lineage: Eukaryota; Viridiplantae; Streptophyta; Magnoliopsida; Malpighiales; Euphorbiaceae
Source: RefSeq, a predicted model, not a curated record
UCCUGGGAAAUGAUAAUUCUCCCUAUUGCAAAAAUCUAACAAAUAAUAUAGAAUCAUAUAUUAAUUGUUUCCAUAUUUAGGAAUUGGACGAACAAUGCAAGACAGAUGAAGGGAAAUAUUUCCCUCCUCGUAAAAGGAAAAAGAGACGAUUUUUGUUACCUGAGAAAUAGAAUUCGAGCACUGUAAUCAGAUAAGAUGUCAACGAGACUACUUUCGUUUUAACUCUAGAAGCCGUUGAUUGUUGUUCCGGCAAACAUCUUUGCUCUCGAGCUUCUUCGCCAAUCCACAUGAAAUCGCUGAGCUGCUACAAAGCUUGCUAAUUACAAAAACUUCGGUUGCAAAAUCAAGUAACUCCAGGCCGUGAAUCUUACUUUUAAUACCACUGAAGCAAUCCCCAGCUAGUGAGGAAGAUGGGCUCUGAGGAAGGAAGUCCACAUUGGAGUGUCUUUGAUGAAAUCAAAACGAUACCACCAACUCCAGACGCUCUCAUGGCAAAGAUUGAUACAGGUAUUACUAAUUUGGAGUAUGCUCGUGCCACUGCAGUCCUCGACUCUCCGUCUCCAUCCCAUUUAAAGAGUGAGAUUCCCAAUGGAGGUGCAACUCCUCGAUAUGAUGCCCGAAUGGCUGAUGAAGCUUAUAAGGCUGGAUGUGCUGCAUUAGCUGCAGGCAAGCUUGAUGAGGCCCUUCAUUCCUUGAACGUUUCUCUUUCAAAAUGUCCUCCUGAUAAGACCUCUGCUGUUGCCAAGCUUCAGUCUCUCAUUUCUCUUACAUCACAGCAACUCCAAAAAUUGCCCACUUGACUUGAUAGCGUGGCUUAAGCAUCAUGAUCAGACAGUGAGUUGGGUGGAUACUGUUCCAAAUUUCAGCAGCAACUGAAUGAAAUGAAGUAUAGAAACAUUAAGCUGUAUAUAAUUGCACCAUUAUCUUCAUGAAAAUUGUGAAAAGACUUGUCAAUAUCUGAUCUAUUUUGUAAUAGACUAAUUUCUUUAGCUGUCUAUUAUUGUAUAAAAGUUGUUACAUACUUGUUCUUUGUUUUGAGAUGACUAUGUUUUGUGUAAUAGACUCACUUUCUUGCUUCA